AUUUCUUUCCCGCACAACGUCAUUUUUGUAUAAAUAAAUCGAGUUUAAAAUCAAAAAAAAAUUUUGAAUAUUAAAUUUUGAAACAAAGUGUAAGAAGGAUCCAUGGCUGAGAUUGAUGAAGUUUUUGAAAUACUGGGCUUCGGUAGGAUGCAGAAGACCAUCUUUGUCGGCUGCCUCCUGUUGCAGACGUGGUUCACCACCGAGCAGCUGGGACUCGGCAUCGUCAUGGUGGCCGGUGCCUGCGACCUCAACAUGAAUGACUACAAGCUGGCCUGGGUGACGGCUCUGACCUUCGCCGUUCAAAUAGGGGCCUUCGUGUUUUGGGGCAUCCUAGUGGACUCAAUGGGCAGGCGGAAAAUUAUAAUUUUCACGGGAGUGACUUCCAACGCCUGUUCUAUACUCUCUGCCGGAAUGCCGGAGUUCUUGUCCUUUUCUGCGUUGCGUAUCAUUUGUUCUGCUUUUAUUGCGGCGCCUGUAAUUGCUAUGAUGACGUACAUGGGGGAGUUCACGAAACAGUCGCUUCGAGCCAGAGUCCUCAAUUACCUAAGCUACGGCUUGGGCAUCAGUUUUAUCCUAGUGCCGGGUACGGCCUAUUUUAUUUUGCCACUGAAAAUCCCUAAUGUUCAAAACUGGCGCAUCUUGCUGCUUUUGAAUCAGAUACCCGGAAUCCUAGGACUGGCCAUAAUUUCAUGUAUGCCGGAGAGUCCCAAGUUCUAUUUGUCCAGGCAUCGACAGGAGGAUGCCAUGGACGUCAUGGAGAGGUGCUGCCGGAUGAACAAGGGAAAGGACACGGACCUGCAAAGCCUGGGGGUGCAGGAGAUCACCCAGCCUCGGCUGCGGGCCCUGUCGACCAGGAAGGCGUCAGCACAAUUCUGUCAUAUCGUGUUUCGCAUGUUUAAGGAGCACACUCGCAUCCUGGUCAUCUCAAUGCUCUGCACAUCGGUCAUGGGCGGCAUAGGUUUUGGACUGCAAGUCUGGAUGGUGCGAAUCAGGUUCAGUAUGAAAACCGAUAACUUUAAUAACCAGACGGUCUGCGUUCACGCUGCGGAAAGCAUGCAUGCUGACAAGCAGCAGUGCCAACUAGACAGAAAUCACCUGGAGGAUCCCUUAAUCCAUGGCUUCCUUAUACUUGGAAUUUUUAUUUUAACGACCUUUCUGCUCCUUUGUAUGGGGCGUCGGCUGAUUAUGCUCACCUACUUGGCCUUCUCGAUGCUGUGCAACUUUUCGUUGAACUUCUUGAAGGAGGAUUUGGUAAUAAUGUUCGCUCUCUUCCUGAUGGUGGAUCCGCACUUGGGCAGCAUGCGAUUGCUGCAGUCCCUGGUCAUUGACAUAAUACCCACACACUACAGGGGUAAGUCGGCUGCAAUGGGGCAGGUUGGUGGGCGUCUUGGCAUUCUAUUUUCCAGCUUGUUUAUGGGAUACACUUUGACUUGGAACUGUUAUGUAGCCUUCAAUACAUUCUUAGUCAUAUCCUUAGUUGCUGCUAUACUUGUGAGCUUGUUGCCUUCAGAAUCUAAAGUGAAGGAAAUGAUGCGUUAACUUCUUCCCAGAUUCUUAAAGAUCUAAAAUAUGUAUAUCGUUAUCCCUUCCAAUUGAUAUUAAUAUUAAUAAAAGCCCAGCUUCAUUAAAACUUUUGGCCAAAAUGAAAGGGGCGGGGGAGCCGAAGCCCAGGCGGCAAAAGGACAUGACAAGGACACCGAGCAAGCUAGGCCGUGGUGAGCUAUCAGCCCUGCCAAUCAGUCAAUCAAUCAUUCAAUCAAUUGGGCGCGCACAACGCAGCACAGUGGAGCGCAGAAUGGAGUCGGCCCGGCUCGUUCCCGGAGGCGGAAGAACGAAAGGAUUAUGGCGAAAGUUGGAAUAUUUUUGUGCACCAGGCAAAAAUAAAAUAAACGUCAAUAAACUUGGA
Molecule: RNA transcript, 1906 nt
Organism: Drosophila ananassae
Lineage: Eukaryota; Metazoa; Arthropoda; Insecta; Diptera; Drosophilidae
Gene name: solute carrier family 22 member 4
Exons: 10
Source: RefSeq, a predicted model, not a curated record